This 253-nucleotide ribosomal RNA is filed under the name uncultured prokaryote. RNAcentral describes it as "partial 16S ribosomal RNA". It matches the Rfam family "Bacterial small subunit ribosomal RNA", at positions 525 to 777 of the family's 1533-position model. The record is from RNAcentral.
ACGGAGGAUGCAAGCGUUAUCCGGAAUGAUUGGGCGUAAAGCGUCCGCAGGUGGCAGUUCAAGUCUGCUGUCAAAGACCGGGGCUUAACUUCGGAAAGGCAGUGGAAACUGAACAGCUAGAGUAUGGUAGGGGCAGAGGGAAUUCCUGGUGUAGCGGUGAAAUGCGUAGAGAUCAGGAAGAACAUCGGUGGCGAAGGCGCUCUGCUGGACCAUAACUGACACUCAGGGACGAAAGCUAGGGGAGCGAAUGGGA